AUUGAACGCUGGCGGCAUGCCUUACACAUGCAAGUCGAACGGCAGCACGGAGCUUGCUCUGGUGGCGAGUGGCGAACGGGUGAGUAAUAUAUCGGAACGUACCCAAGAGUGGGGGAUAACGUAGCGAAAGUUACGCUAAUACCGCAUACGAUCUAAGGAUGAAAGCAGGGGACCGCAAGGCCUUGUGCUCCUGGAGCGGCCGAUAGCUGAUUAGCUAGUUGGUGAGGUAAAGGCUCACCAAGGCAUCGAUCAGUAGCUGGUCUGAGAGGACGACCAGCAACACUGGAACUGAGACACGGUCCAGGCUCCUACGGGAGGCAGCAGUGGGGAAUUUUGGACAAUGGGGGCAACCCUGAUCCAGCAAUGCCGCGUGAGUGAAGAAGGCCUUCGGGUUGUAAAGCUCUUUUGUCAGGGAAGAAACGGUGAAGGCUAAUAUCCUUUGCUAAUGACGGUACCUGAAGAAUAAGCACCGGCUAACUACGUGCCAGCCGCCGCAGUAA
This 500-nucleotide ribosomal RNA is filed under the name uncultured bacterium. RNAcentral describes it as "partial 16S ribosomal RNA". It matches the Rfam family "Bacterial small subunit ribosomal RNA", at positions 30 to 523 of the family's 1533-position model. The record is from RNAcentral.